Pimephales promelas (fathead minnow) is the source of this 327-nucleotide non-coding RNA. Lineage: Eukaryota; Metazoa; Chordata; Actinopteri; Cypriniformes; Leuciscidae. The record is from RefSeq and is a predicted model, not a curated record.
AUGGCAGCAUUUGUUUUAGGGAUUUUACUCAAAUAUAAAGAUCUGAAAUGUCUGCAGACUGGUGUGAGCACUGAGGAUGAGGAGCCUAGAGCUGCAUCCUGGAAGUGGUGCCAUGGAUGAGUCCCUCCAUCUCUCCACCUGCCCUUAUUGCCUCAGAUUGUGAAGCGCAGCGCAGCAACAAGCUCUGGGACGAAGGCACAGUCCCCUCUGGUGAAUUCAUCAGAAUAAAGCCGCAGAAUGGGAACCGCUGUGUUGAGACGGCAUUAGGAUGUGGUGUUCAGCCCUGUAAAUACAUGCUUGUAGUUUGAAUAAAGCUUUGUUUCAUGU